UUGAGUGGCGAACGGGUGAGUAACACGUGGGCAACCUGCCCAAAAGAGGGGGAUAACACUUGGAAACAGGUGCUAAUACCGCAUAACCAUAGUUACCGCAUGGUAACUAUGUAAAAGGUGGCUAUGCUACCGCUUUUGGAUGGGCCCGCGGCGCAUUAGCUAGUUGGUGGGGUAAAGGCUUACCAAGGCAAUGAUGCGUAGCCGAACUGAGAGGUUGAUCGGCCACAUUGGGACUGAGACACGGCCCAAACUCCUACGGGAGGCAGCAGUAGGGAAUCUUCCACAAUGGGCGAAAGCCUGAUGGAGCAACGCCGCGUGGGUGAAGAAGGUCUUCGGAUCGUAAAACCCUGUUGUUAGAGAAGAAAGUGCGUGAGAGUAACUGUUCACGUUUCGACGGUAUCUAACCAGAAAGCCACGGCUAACUACGUGCCAGCAGCCGCGGUGAAUACGUUCCCGGGCCUUGUACACACCGCCCGUCACACCAUGAGAGUUUGUAACACCCAAAGCCGGUGGGGUAACCUUUUGGAGCCAGCCGUCUAAGGUGGGACAGAUGAUUAGGGUGAAGUCGUAACAAGGUAAAGGGCGAAUUCCAGCACACUGGCGGCCGUUACUAGUGGAUCCGAGCUCGGUACCAAGCUUGAUGCAUAGCUUGAGUAUUCUAACGCGUCACCUAAAUAGCUUGGCGUAAUCAUGGUCAUAGCUGUUUCCUGUGUGAAAUUGUUAUCCGCUCACAAUUCCACACAACAUACGAGCCGGAAGCAUAAAGUGUAAAG
This 773-nucleotide ribosomal RNA is filed under the name uncultured bacterium. Its description in RNAcentral is "bacterial SSU rRNA". The stretch from base 1 to 594 matches the Rfam family "Bacterial small subunit ribosomal RNA". The record is from RNAcentral.